This is a long non-coding RNA of Rhagoletis zephyria (snowberry fruit fly), 697 nucleotides long. RefSeq lists it as uncharacterized. Lineage: Eukaryota; Metazoa; Arthropoda; Insecta; Diptera; Tephritidae. The record is from RefSeq and is a predicted model, not a curated record.
GGCGACUCAUAAAAUACCCAUAUGUUAAAGCGAAACGGAAGAUUUGAAGCGAAAAUCAAUACUAUCGCUAGUAGAAUUUUCACGAAUUUUCUGAGCUGCACAGCUAGCAGGUAUAAAUAGGGCAGCGCUAGCCAGCACGCCAACAUUUGUACUUUGGCCGUGCAGCAGAGUGUUUAUAGAAAGAAAUCUUGAAAAGUGUUAAAAGUUAAAGAAAGUGAAUAAAUUGUUUUUUUUUGCUUGGGUUCAGCGGUUUUCAAAGAAGAGAACAGUGUUUUUUGAGUAUUGGUUGAAAAAUGAAGUCUGCAAAAAUGGUUAACGGAAGUUGGUGUUUUUGGAAGAAGUUGCAAGUCUUAUUAGAGGAAGAUGAUCCCGGUUAGCUGAGAUGGCGUUAUUAUACAAUGAGUACAUUGAGCAUAUAUGGAAAUAACAUUACCUAAGAGAGGAGGCUAGGCAAAAAGACAACGCAUGGAAUUUUACUUCUGGUCUGCUGGCUUACCAUAACUGGAUCUGUUUAGGCAGGAUGACUGAGAUGUACUCUUGACUGAGAGGAAUCUAUGGGCAGGCCAGGCAGGAAUGUGUUGUUGAGUGAAGACAUACAGGCAGGCAGGCAAGGCAAGCAGGCAAACACGUACAGCCGAAGGCAGAAAACUGCGUUGAGGAUGGUGUGUGUGUGUGUGUUGGCCACAAAUGGAUGUGG